UACGAAGGGGACUAGCGUUGUUCGGAUUUACUGGGCGUAAAGCGCGCGUAGGCGGAUCGCUAAGUCAGGGGUGAAAUCCCAGGGCUCAACCCUGGAACUGCCUUUGAUACUGACGAUCUGGAGAUCGGGAGAGGUUGGUGGAAUUCCGAGUGUAGAGGUGAAAUUCGUAGGUAUUCGGAAGAACACCAGUGGCGAAGGCGACUCACUGGACACGUAUUGACGCUGAGGUGCGAAAGCGUGGGGAGCAAACAGG
RNAcentral lists this ribosomal RNA (253 nucleotides) under uncultured bacterium. RNAcentral describes it as "partial 16S ribosomal RNA". It matches the Rfam family "Bacterial small subunit ribosomal RNA", at positions 524 to 776 of the family's 1533-position model. The record is from RNAcentral.